ACACACAUUUACAAAAUGCCUAUAACUUGUCAGAACUAUGCUAAUCAUUUAUAUAUAUUAUCAUAUUUGAUAUAAUUGGUAGAGCAAAUAAAGGAAGUGGGUUCCUCACAAAACCUUCACAAAAAUAACAGAAAACAAGAAAAAUUGCUCAAAAUUCCAAACAAGGGAGAAGAGGCUAUCCUGGUAAAGAGGGAUUCACUAAGAGCAAAAAGGGCAAGAAGAGAAUGAAAAAUGGCAUGCUGCUAGAAUUGUUUGAAUUUAUGGGAGAAGAUCUUGUCUAAUGAAACAAGAUUCUAAAUGUAGGUGGGAGCCAAUUUGCUGAAGAAAUGGAAUACCAGAUUAAGUUUAUCUGUUGUUUUAUAGUCAUUGAGUUUAAAGCAGUGGAAUUCUGUGUUCAUUCUCUGCAUUGGUAUCCCCAGCAUUUAGUACAGUGCAUGGUACACAGUAACUCAAAAGUUUGAUCGAUGAUAAGGGUAAUUGAUGAAGAAAGCAGAAUGAAGAGGGGAAUGAGAAGAUGGAAGACUUCAGAAGAGUGUUAGGAUGGUCCUGGCAAUAGUUGAAGAGGGCCUUAAUUGGUGGAAUUGCAUGGAGAAUGGAAAGGAAGUGACAAAUAGAAAAUCCUGGGAAGUCAGAAUCCAUAAAGUUUGACAAAUGAAGGGAUAGCAAAUGAAGGAGAUUGAGUGAAAAGGAAAGAGUAUAUGAUGAUAAUGAAAUUUCUUUCAGAGGAUGACUAAGAGUGAUGGUACCAUCAACAGAAAUAGGGAAGUUAGGACAGGCAACUUUGGGGAGAUGAAUUCAGUUUUGUAUUCAGUGCAAAGUAGAGGUAGAGCUAGCCAGAAGGAAAUUAGGAAAAAAAAAAAAAAAACUCUGGGACUGGAGAAUUAGAUUUACAGAAGAGCAGUAAUUGAAGUUAUGUUCAUUAGAUUGCCAGAGAUGGAAGGCCAAGGCCAACAACAAGGCCCUGGGGAAUGAGUACAUUUAGGUGGGAGGAAGGAGAGGAGAGGAACAGCAGCUUUGAACAAUUAGUACACAGCCUACAAAUAACAUCUUUAAACAACAAAAGUAAGAACUCUUCUCUUUCCCUGAGUCAUUUGUGAAUUCUUUGAAAAUAAAAGAGUGCAAAGAAUGGAGAUGGUAUUGGAGUGGUUAUGAAGUAUAUGUUGGUGGGCAAAUUAUCCAAAAAUAAUUGAAAUAAAGUCCAAGUUUCUACUAUACAA
This is a long non-coding RNA of Antechinus flavipes (yellow-footed antechinus), 1217 nucleotides long. RefSeq lists it as uncharacterized. The transcript is spliced from 2 exons. Lineage: Eukaryota; Metazoa; Chordata; Mammalia; Dasyuromorphia; Dasyuridae. The record is from RefSeq and is a predicted model, not a curated record.